This 526-nucleotide ribosomal RNA is filed under the name Nakazawaea ernobii. RNAcentral describes it as "eukaryotic LSU rRNA". It matches the Rfam family "Eukaryotic large subunit ribosomal RNA", at positions 104 to 646 of the family's 3401-position model. The record is from RNAcentral. Lineage: Eukaryota; Fungi; Ascomycota; Pichiomycetes; Alaninales; Pachysolenaceae.
UAGCAUCAAAUUUGAAAUCUAGCACUUUCAGUGUUCGAGUUGUAAUUUGAAGAAGGUAUCUUUGGAGUUGGCCCCCGUCUAUGUUCCUUGGAACAGGACGUCACAGAGGGUGAGAAUCCCGUGCGAUGGGGAGACCAAUUCUAUGUAAAGUUCCUUCGAAGAGUCGAGUUGUUUGGGAAUGCAGCUCUAAGUGGGUGGUAAAUUCCAUCUAAAGCUAAAUAUUGGCGAGAGACCGAUAGCGAACAAGUACAGUGAUGGAAAGAUGAAAAGAACUUUGAAAAGAGAGUGAAAAAGUACGUGAAAUUGUUGAAAGGGAAGGGCUUUUGAUCAGACUUGGUGUUUAGUACUCUCUACUCCUUGUGGGUGGGGCUCUUGCUUUAUACUGGGCCAGCAUCGGUUUGGAUGGUAGGAUAAUAGCAUUGGAAUGUGGCUUCAUUCGUGAAGUGUUAUAGCCCUUGUUGAUACUACCUAUCUAGACCGAGGACUGCGUCUUUUGACUAGGAUGCUGGCGUAAUGAUUAAAAGCC